GGUUAAGCGACUAAGCGUACACGGUGGAUGCCUUGGCAGUCAGAGGCGAUGAAGGACGUGCUAAUCUGCGAUAAGCGUCGGUAAGGUGAUAUGAACCGUUAUAACCGGCGAUUUCCGAAUGGGGAAACCCAGUGUGAUUCGUCACACUAUCAUUAACUGAAUCCAUAGGUUAAUGAGGCGAACCGGGGGAACUGAAACAUCUAAGUACCCCGAGGAAAAGAAAUCAACCGAGAUUCCCCCAGUAGCGGCGAGCGAACGGGGAGCAGCCCAGAGCCUGAAUCAGUGUGUGUGUUAGUGGAAGCGU
This 304-nucleotide ribosomal RNA is filed under the name Shigella flexneri. RNAcentral describes it as "partial 23S ribosomal RNA". It matches the Rfam family "Bacterial large subunit ribosomal RNA", at positions 1 to 309 of the family's 2925-position model. Lineage: Bacteria; Pseudomonadati; Pseudomonadota; Gammaproteobacteria; Enterobacterales; Enterobacteriaceae. The record is from RNAcentral.